CAACAGUAGCCGAAACCACCAAAACAGAGGCAGCCCCUUUGGGCUGCUCUCUCUCCUCCUUUUCCUCCAUUUUUCCUAUUUAAUUUCUUUCUAUUUUAUUUUGAGAUUUGAAGAACUACUCACACAAAGCUUCAAGGAUCCUCCAAGGGACUCAAUUUCUACAAGAUUUAAGAUUUUGGGCUUGAUUACUUAAACGUCGCAGCUUCUAUUGAUGUAUUACCAGUUCAUUAUGCGUUUCUACAAGGCCGGGAGAUGCUUCUUGUUGAGGGUUUAAAGCUCGAUGGAGUUCCAGCAGGAAUAUAUUCUGUCCAUUGUUUGCCUUUAAGGUUGAUAAGUUCUGAUGGAUCACCAGCAAGAUGCAUCCUCAUCAAAUAAGCACUUAGGGUUUAGGUUUUCAACAGCCACGCUAAUCGUAAAAAUAAAACUUGUAUCCUCAUACACAUAUCUUGUCUGGUCUUGAUCUUUUGUUUUGCAUUUUUUUUAGUCUUUAUUGUGUC
Rosa chinensis is the source of this 497-nucleotide long non-coding RNA. RefSeq lists it as uncharacterized. The transcript has 3 exons. The record is from RefSeq and is a predicted model, not a curated record. NCBI's taxonomy places the organism in Eukaryota, Viridiplantae, Streptophyta, Magnoliopsida, Rosales, Rosaceae.